This 501-nucleotide ribosomal RNA is filed under the name uncultured bacterium. RNAcentral describes it as "bacterial SSU rRNA". It matches the Rfam family "Bacterial small subunit ribosomal RNA", at positions 8 to 526 of the family's 1533-position model. The record is from RNAcentral.
AGAGUUUGAUCAUGGCUCAGGACGAACGCUGGCGGCGUGCUUAACACAUGCAAGUCGAACGAUGAAGCCCUUCGGGGUGGAUUAGUGGCGAACGGGUGAGUAACACGUGGGCAACCUGCCCCCGGCUCUGGGAUAACUCCAAGAAAUUGGGGCUAAUACCGGAUAUUCACUGCUGGUCGCAUGACCGGUGGUGGAAAGUUUUUCGGCUGGGGAUGGGCCCGCGGCCUAUCAGCUUGUUGGUGGGGUGAUGGCCUACCAAGGCGACGACGGGUAGCCGGCCUGAGAGGGUGACCGGCCACACUGGGACUGAGACACGGCCCAGACUCCUACGGGAGGCAGCAGUGGGGAAUAUUGCGCAAUGGGCGGAAGCCUGACGCAGCGACGCCGCGUGGGGGAUGACGGCCUUCGGGUUGUAAACCUCUUUCAGCAGGGACGAAGCGCAAGUGACGGUACCUGCAGAAGAAGCACCGGCCAACUACGUGCCAGCCGCCGCGGUAAUAC